This 82-nucleotide transfer RNA is filed under the name Flavimaricola marinus. Its description in RNAcentral is "tRNA-Leu". The record is from RNAcentral. Lineage: Bacteria; Pseudomonadati; Pseudomonadota; Alphaproteobacteria; Rhodobacterales; Paracoccaceae.
UGACCGUGUAGACCGCGCCGGGUUGGGUCUGGACGGUUUGAGACAUCGAGGUUGCGCCGUUCUGAUCGGUGCUGGUCGUCCA